AUACGUAGGGGGCGAGCGUUGUCCGGAAUUAUUGGGCGUAAAGGGCGUGUAGGCGGUUAUUUAAGUCAGGUGUGAAACACCACGGCUCAACCGUGGGGUUGCACUUGAAACUGGAGGACUUGAGUGCAGGAGAGGAGAGCGGAAUUCCCGGUGUAGCGGUGAAAUGCGUAGAUAUCGGGAAGAACACCAGUGGCGAAGGCGGCUCUCUGGCCUGUAACUGACGCUGAGGCGCGAAAGCUAGGGUAGCGAACGGGAUUAGAUACCCCGGUAGUCCUAGCCGUAAACGAUGGGUACUAGGUGUGGGAGGUAUCGACCCCUUCUGUGCCGGAGUUAACGCAAUAAGUACCCCGCCUGGGGAGUACGGCCGCAAGGCUGAA
RNAcentral lists this ribosomal RNA (377 nucleotides) under uncultured bacterium. RNAcentral describes it as "bacterial SSU rRNA". It matches the Rfam family "Bacterial small subunit ribosomal RNA", at positions 523 to 898 of the family's 1533-position model. The record is from RNAcentral.